CACUAACACACCGCCAUGUCAGUGUUACUGCAGUGCUGAGAAUGAUCCACCACCUAAAUGGUACCUGCUCUGUGAGGGUCCGUGGGGUUCCUGACAACUGAAGAACAGGGUAAAAGGGGGCUAACAAGUACACUGUUAAAAGUGGGACUAGGGUUAAUUAAUAUUUACUAAAUAAUGAAUUUACCAAUACAUAAUAAAGAAUAUAUGUAGUUCAAAAUCAUUUUUUAUUAAGUUUAUUCAUUGUAUUUUAUACAAUUUUACUUUAAUAAAAUUAGCUGUGACACAUUGAGUAGAAUUUACUUAUUUUGUCUGUAACGGCAAGGAUACAGAAAGUCGAUAGAUUUUACUCAUUAGGAGGUCUUUGUUUUCAAUUAGCUUACACUUCCGCCCAACCAGUUUUCACCUCAUGGACUACAGACACUCCAUUUUUUUAGGAGCUGCUGUCCUCCAACUUUUUCAAGGUAAGACCUUUUUUAAAUAUUGUUGGGGAAUUAACAGGCAGCUGGUACAACAACUUACCAAUAGUUUAACUUUGCCCUGCUGUAAGUCAAAGAAUUUAGUUUCAUAGUAACUGAUUUGUAGUUUUUAUAGCUACACAUUUACAGCAUGCCCAUUAACUCUAAAACUUUAUAUAAGGAAAGCAAGGAUUUUAUAUAUGAGUCUGUUCGAUAGACUUAUCUUGUAUAACUUAUCUUGUAACGGACUAUGGAUAGCCAUAUACUGUACAGCUGUCAUUACCUGUUCAUACUAAGGUGAUUUAGGAUGAUGUAUUACAUUUUUGUCUGUAGCAUUGACUGGCUUUCUAAAUACAUGAGUACAAUAUAGCGGCUACAUAACAGUUGUCCUUUUAGCAAAUUGUUAGCAAUGGCUUCGAGGUAGCUUAGCAAGCUACAUAGGCUUCUUUCCUUGGUACUAUCAAGUUCAAACCGCAUGUUAAAGUUUCUUUUUUUUAACAUAAAUAUUGAAAAAAAUUGACAUGGUGUGCACAGAGAGAGCCUGCUUGAUGUGAGCUGCAGAAGUGCUAAACAGCACUCAACAUAAUAGUCUUACUUCUGUUUAAUUCUUUUUUCAUAUCUCGCUCUGGCUUUUUGUCCUUUGAUUAUUUUAUUGGAGUGUUUAAGUGGCAUUGUACACUACAAUAGCAUUCCAACCUUGUUUAAUAGUGCUGCAAUGUGGUAAUGGUCAUAAAAUGUUUUUGUGAACACUUUUGUGCCUGAUUCAGCUGUUUAUGGUUAUUGGGUCUCAUUUAGCCGUUUCUAGGGUUGUGGUUUUGUACUUUGCUAACUAAAGUGUGUCUGAUUUAGCUUUUCAAAAUUCAGAGAUUUCUACUUGCAUGGCAAUGUAUGGAAAAAUGAAUUUGAACUAAUAUGAAUUAAUCUUCAGUGUGUAAUUUCCAAAUAAUUGUGCAGAGCGCUUUUUUUCAUGAUUUUGCAGCAGUUUUGACACUCAUGGUCAUUUUAAUUGUUAUUAUACAAAUGUGUACAUUUUAAAACUAUUAAGAUAUAAUUAAUUAAAUUAUAAGUAUUAAGUAAAAAUACUUGUACAUCAAAUUGGCAAAUAAAUAAUUGUAUUUCAUUGUUUGAAUUAAUGAAUUAAUCAUUCUGUUUUUAACAUUCAGAUUAUUUGAGUUGCAGGUUUCUGGUUGUAUUAUAUAUUCUCACAGUUAGAUUUUUUUCAUUAAUAUAAGAUGGGUUGUGAAUGUAAUGGUAAGCACAGUGCCACCUAAAUCAAAUACACAGUAGUAGCAUGAGCACCAUUUGAUACAACUCGCAACAUAGAAAACCCAGUUUCAGCUCCUGUCACCUUGGUGGUUGGACUUCAUUUAAUUCCAAUUAACUGGGAUUCUGCGAACAUGAGUUUUAAUUAAGAACCUUCUUUAAAUGUAAGUAUGCGCAAUGUAAAAUGUAAUCAUUCAAGCAGGAAACAAAUGCAUUAUAAAAUGUAAUAUGAUACAGACAAAUAUUUUUAUAAAAUCAUGUUUAUUUAAAUUGCAUUCAGCAUUUAGAGACAAAUGUGAUUUGAGAUUUAAUUUGAAAUAAUUUUUAAAAAUGUAUUAGUAAUUGUAAUAAAACACACUUUAUUAUUCUGAUGGAAUAAUUGCAGUCUCUUCCUCAGAUUAUGCAUUGUAUGUCUGAUUUGUAUCUGUUGGCUUCUGGUUGUGAUGCUUUUGAACUUGUGUAUAUUUAGAGAUGGAGGCAAAACUCAGAGUAAUAAUUGAUGAUCGAAUUGAAAAACUGGUUCUUCUAUCGGGAAUCCCGCACACUGUGGAGGAGCUGCAAGCUGUUGUAAAUGAGGCCUUUGGAAUAUCUUAUGACUUCAGUCUUCAAUAUCUGGACUCAGAAUUUGAAGACUACUUUACCCUCAAUAAAUGUGAUCAAAUUAAACACAAAGAUACUGUAAAGGUUGUUCACACUGCCCCGAUUCUGACUUGUAUUCAGUUGAUGAAAGUUUGGGCAGUACCUCUGGUCAACUCUCAACUGACUGUGACUCUGCAUCUUGUGCAGAGUCGAUUGCGUCAAAUGCAGAGCCAUCUGGUGAGUCCUCUUCCUCCCAGGACACCAUUAUUCUUUCUAGGCGAAGUUCCACAGAACGAUGUCAACCAUGGCCAAAGCAGUUCGCCAUUCCACACUUGCAUAUGAAACUGAGAUGUACCUUGAAAGAGCCAAGGAAGGUUACAAGAAUGGAAAACUUCUAACUACUUCAAAGGUCAAGGUGGACAUUCUGGAGAAAUUGGCUGAAACUGUAUAUUCAUAUACAGCCUGUCCAUCAAGUGCAUCAGUGAUGUUGCUGAGGCACUCAUUGAGAAAUAUCCUUGUCUCAAGGAACCUGGCUCCUUCUCUGGUUACUAUGGCUUGCAACAAAGCAUCAAGUAGAAGAUGGUCAAUUAUUGCACCAAACUUCAAGGCUUUGGUGUUCCUGAGGUGAUAUACAAUGCAGUAAAGCACAAGAGGCUUGCUGAAACUGAACCCUGAAAAGCAGAGGUAAACUACCUGCCCCCUUACCCAGCAGGAAAGGAUAAAGAAAGUCAAGAACACGAAAGGAUUGAGUUGCUCACUGACGUAAAGAAAAGGGACAAUGACAAACUGAUAAAAGAAAAAAUGGCCAAAACAUUUGCGCACAGAAGACACGAAAUCAUCAACCAGACACCCGGCAUAGAGGACAUUUAAAGCCAGAUGGCCUGCUCUGUUUAAGGCAUCUCAUCUCCAGGAUGAGUUUCAUAGAAUCACAACAGUGCACCUUGAAUCAAAGUUCAUGUCCAAGUUGGAUGAAUAUACUCCUAAGCUUCUGGUACUCUUCCAUUCCAACGGAGGAGCCCUAGGGUGGAGGCUGCAAGUUAUCCUACUAAAGGCUCCUAGCCAUCCUUGCAUUAACAUGACCAGAGAAGUUGUCUUCGGUGCUUGAUGGUGUACCUCGGGGAAUCGACAGAUCAGCUCUUAAGAGUAUGAGAAGUUGAAGUACAUCAUAUGAUGAUGCUGAUGGAGAGUGUGUCACAGGACCUUGCAGUACAAAAGAUGAAAAUCUACAAAAUCAAGACACAAACAUCAGACCGUACUGCAGACUUUGGUGUUGUGGUAGAAGGUGUGAAAGUUUUGACUGAUCUGGUAACUUUGCAAGAGCUUGCUCCAUGCUUGUUGGAUUUGCAUAUGCAGUGGAUCUUGCUUAUCCCAAGGAGCUCAGGUACACAUUCGAAGUCUUUCAAAACUCCUCCUUGAAGUGGAUUGUUUACGGCUUUCUCCAAAAGUGAAUAGCCUCAAAAAUAAGCUACUGGCUUAAGACAAGGGACUCGUAUAAAGUGAAAAAUUGUGACUCUCAAAACUUUUACAUUGUUAAAUUUUAAAGCUUUGUUAAAUGCACAAGUUUAAUUGUUCCGUUUAAUUAAUUGCUUAAUCACAUGUUUCUUGUGGUCCAAUAACCGUACUAAUUUGAGGGAAGAGGCUUACUGUUUUUGAUUUUAUAUUGGUACAGACAACUGUUCAUAUGCAUUUGUGAUGGCAUUGUGUAAACAAGUCUCUCUCCAAAAGUGAAUAGCCUCAAGAAUAAUCUAAUGGCUUAAGAAAAGGGACUCUUGUAGAGUGAAAGGAAAUUGUGUGUCUCAACUUUUACAUUAUGACCUGUAAAGCUUUGUUAAAUGCAAGCUUCAUUGUUCAAUUUACCAACUUAUUUGGUUAAUCUCACAUGUUUCUUGCAGUCCAAUUAAUCAUACUUAUUUGAAGGAAGCCUUUGUUUUUUUUAAUUUAAUAUUGGUACAGACAGCUGUUUGUAUACAUUGUGAUUGCAUUGUGUAAACCAGGGAUACAAAUUCUUAAUUUAAUUUAAAAAAAGAAGAAAGGUAAAUGGUGUGAUUUUGUUUCCUUUUAUUGGUGUGGCUCUGCAGAUUUCAAUCAGUGAUUUAUAAUUAGAGUUUUCAUAUUUGUAAGAAAUAAAAAUGCUUUGCACUAACAAAAUAUUGUUGUAUUUUUGCCCCAACAGGAUAAGACAGGAUAAGAAAAUUUGCAAACAUAAACAAUAAAAAAAAUCUUCUGGGCCUAUUUUAACCAGAAGUGAUGUGGAGAGACCAUAUAUCACCAUACAGUUGUGAUAAAUCUGUAUUUGUCCUUUUUUAACGUUCCAAGUGAACCUUUAUCAACAUUAAGGACAGACAGAUUGCCAGUCUGUUAUAUUUCUGUUGUAUACCUACAGUUUAUAUGCAUGGUAAUCGGUUAAUAUAAUUAAAGUAAGCCAUGGCACCAACAAGACAUAAUAUAUAGUAGAUUAAAAAUAUGAAUAGGUCUGAAGUUCUAAAACUUUAAAGUUGUACACAUGAAUAGGAUUUGCAGUGUAUUUGUGUCUAAAUACACAACAGCAGGUCAAAAUGAUUUUAUACAUUUUAUUUAAUUUAGUAAAUCC
Molecule: long non-coding RNA, 4887 nt
Organism: Pygocentrus nattereri (red-bellied piranha)
Lineage: Eukaryota; Metazoa; Chordata; Actinopteri; Characiformes; Serrasalmidae
Exons: 4
Source: RefSeq, a predicted model, not a curated record